This 94-nucleotide transfer RNA is filed under the name Coprinellus micaceus. It matches the Rfam family "tRNA". Rfam says of the family: Transfer RNA (tRNA) molecules are approximately 80 nucleotides in length. Their secondary structure includes four short double-helical elements and three loops (D, anti-codon, and T loops). Further hydrogen bonds mediate the characteristic L-shaped molecular structure. tRNAs have two regions of fundamental functional importance: the anti-codon, which is responsible for specific mRNA codon recognition, and the 3' end, to which the tRNAs corresponding amino acid is attached (by aminoacyl-tRNA synthetases). tRNAs cope with the degeneracy of the genetic code in two manners: having more than one tRNA (with a specific anti-codon) for a particular amino acid; and 'wobble' base-pairing, i.e. permitting non-standard base-pairing at the 3rd anti-codon position. The record is from Rfam by way of RNAcentral. Lineage: Eukaryota; Fungi; Basidiomycota; Agaricomycetes; Agaricales; Psathyrellaceae.
GCCCGCCUAGCUCAAUCGGCUAGAGCGUCAGACUUUUACGGACCUUGGUCUGAAGUCAAUCUGAAGGCUGCGAGUUCGACCCUCGCGGUGGGCU